UAGAAUGUGGUAUAAAGGAAACACUGAGAAUUUAGAGUUCUUGGAUGUAGUUUCAAUUCCUAUUGUUCUAG
Monodelphis domestica (gray short-tailed opossum) is the source of this 71-nucleotide transfer RNA. It matches the Rfam family "tRNA". From Rfam's summary of the family: Transfer RNA (tRNA) molecules are approximately 80 nucleotides in length. Their secondary structure includes four short double-helical elements and three loops (D, anti-codon, and T loops). Further hydrogen bonds mediate the characteristic L-shaped molecular structure. tRNAs have two regions of fundamental functional importance: the anti-codon, which is responsible for specific mRNA codon recognition, and the 3' end, to which the tRNAs corresponding amino acid is attached (by aminoacyl-tRNA synthetases). tRNAs cope with the degeneracy of the genetic code in two manners: having more than one tRNA (with a specific anti-codon) for a particular amino acid; and 'wobble' base-pairing, i.e. permitting non-standard base-pairing at the 3rd anti-codon position. The record is from Rfam. Lineage: Eukaryota; Metazoa; Chordata; Mammalia; Didelphimorphia; Didelphidae.